RNAcentral lists this unclassified non-coding RNA (600 nucleotides) under Aspergillus fumigatus. RNAcentral's name for it is "sequence contains 18S rRNA gene, ITS1, 5.8S rRNA gene, ITS2, 28S rRNA gene". The stretch from base 231 to 384 matches the Rfam family "5.8S ribosomal RNA". Lineage: Eukaryota; Fungi; Ascomycota; Eurotiomycetes; Eurotiales; Aspergillaceae. The record is from RNAcentral.
AGUCGUAACAAGGUUUCCGUAGGUGAACCUGCGGAAGGAUCAUUACCGAGUGAGGGCCCUCUGGGUCCAACCUCCCACCCGUGUCUAUCGUACCUUGUUGCUUCGGCGGGCCCGCCGUUUCGACGGCCGCCGGGGAGGCCUUGCGCCCCCGGGCCCGCGCCCGCCGAAGACCCCAACAUGAACGCUGUUCUGAAAGUAUGCAGUCUGAGUUGAUUAUCGUAAUCAGUUAAAACUUUCAACAACGGAUCUCUUGGUUCCGGCAUCGAUGAAGAACGCAGCGAAAUGCGAUAAGUAAUGUGAAUUGCAGAAUUCAGUGAAUCAUCGAGUCUUUGAACGCACAUUGCGCCCCCUGGUAUUCCGGGGGGCAUGCCUGUCCGAGCGUCAUUGCUGCCCUCAAGCACGGCUUGUGUGUUGGGCCCCCGUCCCCCUCUCCCGGGGGACGGGCCCGAAAGGCAGCGGCGGCACCGCGUCCGGUCCUCGAGCGUAUGGGGCUUUGUCACCUGCUCUGUAGGCCCGGCCGGCGCCAGCCGACACCCAACUUUAUUUUUCUAAGGUUGACCUCGGAUCAGGUAGGGAUACCCGCUGAACCUAAGCAUAUCA